GCUCUUGUAGCAUAGUUGGUUAAUGCGUAGUGCUUAUAGUUACAACUAUACUCGAGUCACGCUAAGAUCGCGAGUUCGAUCCUCGCCUAGAGCA
This 94-nucleotide transfer RNA is filed under the name Backusella circina FSU 941. Its description in RNAcentral is "tRNA-Ile". It matches the Rfam family "tRNA". Rfam says of the family: Transfer RNA (tRNA) molecules are approximately 80 nucleotides in length. Lineage: Eukaryota; Fungi; Mucoromycota; Mucoromycetes; Mucorales; Backusellaceae. The record is from RNAcentral.